This 1008-nucleotide long non-coding RNA is filed under the name Numida meleagris (helmeted guineafowl). Its description in RNAcentral is "lncRNA (ENSNMEG00000010703.1)". The record is from RNAcentral. Lineage: Eukaryota; Metazoa; Chordata; Aves; Galliformes; Numididae.
CUCCAUAUCCUUGUGUUGAAAAUUGUGUCUCUGCAGGUAUUAGUUUAGCCAUUCAGCUUGUCCAUGUGCCAAAUGUAGAAGGUAUGUUUUUUUUCUGAGAACGCACCAAUGCGGUUAUGUAAUUCACUUGCAGGAGAGCUGGCUGAACUCCCUACCAACUCAGGACAAUUCCAGUGAAGAACAAUGGAAUUAUGUAAACACGGAUGUCUGUAACUGAGGUCAGUCCUAUCAAUACCUAACACUAGAAUUGCCUCCAAAAGAAGCCACUUCUUUAUCCACUCGUUCUGCUACUCUGCUCCUUGUAUUCACUUCUGUUGUGCUGACUUGGGAAUGGGUUGGAUUGUCUAGUGAACAGAGCUGGGGAAACUGCUCAGAGAAGAACGUACUAAUAUGCCAUGCAAGUGAAUGUAUACUUCAUGGUAGCAUCCAUGUCUGAAGGUUGGAAUACAGCUCAGUAUGUCCAAAGCUAUUUGUUAUUUGGAAGAAGAAAGAGAAUCAGCACCAUCCACAUUUUCUGGAAUAGAACACAGGUGCCCAGUGAACCUUCAACAGAAGAAAAUGUUUAAAGCCCUGAUCCAUCAUUUGGAACUACUGGGAUGAGUGAAGAGUGUAGAACCCAGCCAUCAAAGAAAAAGAGCACCAGAUUCAUCCUGGCUUGUCCCCAUAAAAUGUGCCUCUGUGUGCAGUCAAAGGGAAGUGAUCUGCAACUAAUUCCUUGGGAGAAAAGUUCAUGGGCCUGCAUAGCCUAGGUUCAAACUUGGAUUUAUUUGUAACAUAAUAAUCUAGAACUAACUAUACAGUCUGCCUCUUUCAUGUCUGACCUAUUUACAUUAUAUCUUUUAACACCCCUGUAAGCAUAGUGUUUAAGAAUGACUUUCAGUACAGCAAUAACUUAUUAAAUCUCAUAUAUAUCAGAGAAGUUUGGGAGUUUAAAGGAAGGAGGCAGCAUUAAAAAGACAAGGAAAUGCUGUUCUACUGAUGAAGACUGAGUGUGGUGCUGCACAAAGA